Long non-coding RNA from Eurytemora carolleeae, 318 nucleotides. RefSeq lists it as uncharacterized. The record is from RefSeq and is a predicted model, not a curated record. The transcript has 3 exons. Lineage: Eukaryota; Metazoa; Arthropoda; Copepoda; Calanoida; Temoridae.
GUCUGGUUCGACCUUCUCCAAGCUUCUCUCCGGGCUGUCUCUACUGGACGGAUUACUCCUGCUCACCCUGCUGGUGGAUAAUGGUCUACCAGCUGUCUGGGGGGAACCUGAAUGGUAUAUUCUCCUCGUCCCGACUAUCUACCCUAUCAAGGGUAUGUUGAUAACAGCGACAAUAUACUGUGUUGUUGUCAUAUCUGGACAGAGACAGCGAGCUAUAGUUCAACCUCUCAAGGCUAAGAGUGGGUUUUUAACAUGUUUCAUCUUCGUGAUUGUUCUGAGCGUGGCGGUCAAUCUACCAAAGUUUCUAGAAUUUAGGGU